This 830-nucleotide ribosomal RNA is filed under the name Enterococcus sp. RAS69. RNAcentral describes it as "bacterial SSU rRNA". It matches the Rfam family "Bacterial small subunit ribosomal RNA", at positions 107 to 922 of the family's 1533-position model. The record is from RNAcentral. Lineage: Bacteria; Bacillati; Bacillota; Bacilli; Lactobacillales; Enterococcaceae.
UGAGUAACUCGUGGGUAGCCUGCCCAUCAGAAGGGGAUAACACUUGGAAACAGGUGCUAAUACCGUAUAACAAUCGAAACCGCAUGGUUUUGAUUUGAAAGGCGCUUUCGGGUGUCGCUGAUGGAUGGACCCGCGGUGCAUUAGCUAGUUGGUGAGGUAACGGCUCACCAAGGCCACGAUGCAUAGCCGACCUGAGAGGGUGAUCGGCCACAUUGGGACUGAGACACGGCCCAAACUCCUACGGGAGGCAGCAGUAGGGAAUCUUCGGCAAUGGACGAAAGUCUGACCGAGCAACGCCGCGUGAGUGAAGAAGGUUUUCGGAUCGUAAAACUCUGUUGUUAGAGAAGAACAAGGAUGAGAGUAACUGUUCAUCCCUUGACGGUAUCUAACCAGAAAGCCACGGCUAACUACGUGCCAGCAGCCGCGGUAAUACGUAGGUGGCAAGCGUUGUCCGGAUUUAUUGGGCGUAAAGCGAGCGCAGGCGGUUUCUUAAGUCUGAUGUGAAAGCCCCCGGCUCAACCGGGGAGGGUCAUUGGAAACUGGGAGACUUGAGUGCAGAAGAGGAGAGUGGAAUUCCAUGUGUAGCGGUGAAAUGCGUAGAUAUAUGGAGGAACACCAGUGGCGAAGGCGACUCUCUGGUCUGUAACUGACGCUGAGGCUCGAAAGCGUGGGGAGCAAACAGGAUUAGAUACCCUGGUAGUCCACGCCGUAAACGAUGAGUGCUAAGUGUUGGAGGGUUUCCGCCCUUCAGUGCUGCAGCUAACGCAUUAAGCACUCCGCCUGGGGAGUACGACCGCAAGGUUGAAACUCAAAGGAAUUGACGGGGGCCC